CGAUGCUGAGUUACUGAAAAGAUUCAGAUUGGACCGUGCUGGUAUUGUUGCAGUGACUGAUAUAGUGAGAGACAAGCUGCAAAGUAAAACUGAAAGAAAUAGAGCCUUGACCCCUGAGAUGGUGGCCAUCACAUUACGAUAUUUAGCCACAGGAAAAAUGCAACAGUGCAGUUGUGAUGAUUUUGGAACAACGCAGCCCACUAUCAGCCGUGCAAUAUCACAGACGAUUGAUGCACUGGCUGACCCAGAAGUAAUCUGCCAGUUCGUGGCUUUCCCUCACACCCAGCGUGAAGUGCAGCAAAAACAGGCAGAGUUCAUGCAAGUAACUCAGUUUCCCGGUGUUGUGGGAGUGAUUGAUGGCACUCAUAUAAGAAUUGUGUCUCCUCAUGUCGAUGAACAUGUAUAUGUGAACAGGAAACGCUAUCACAGCAUAAAUGUGCAAGUAGUAUUUGAUGCUCACUAUAAGAUUCUUGACAUUGUGGCAAGGUGGCCUGGCUCAGUCAACGAUGCAAGAAUACUAGAUAAGUCAGCACUCAAACUGAUGUUUGAGGAACAACAUGUACCUGCAGGAUGCUACCUUCCCGGGGACAGUGGCUAUCCCUGUAAGCAGUGGCUCCUCACUCCUUACCUUCGCCCUCAAACUGUUGCACAAGCUAAUUAUAACAGGUGGGUUUAUUUGUAAAUAGUGUUCUGUUAGGUUUAGAUAUGCUUUGAACGAAUCUAGUAGCUUUCUCCCCAGGGCCGCCCUCCCGCGUGUGCCCGCAGCCCCUACAAGAACCGGUCCCUGCCCCCCUUUGGGCACGCUCUCCUCCCAAGGCUAAGUCCCCGGGGCGUGGCCGCCCAAACUAACCCCCCUCCUCCCAACAGUUCCAGUACCUUACGAUGCAGCCGAGGGGACUGACGCCACCACCACCACUGCCACCACCGCCACAACAAGGGUUAUUCAAAUGGGGAACAUGCUUCAGGUGUUGCCCCAAGAUGCCUCAGCCCCGCAGCCCCACUUCCCCAUGAUAGUGCAGGCAGGGAAUGUCAUACAGGUUGUUCCAGCUGACAACACGCAGGUAUUAGGGGCAGAAGUCGUUGGAGUUGGUCGGGUCAUGCAAGUGGUCGGAGUCCCAGGCUUUCCCCCGACCCCAGCCCCAGACCCCUGCCCCAGCCACCCCUCUCCCUGUGACCCCUGCCCAGUCAUCCCUCACCCCCUCCUGCCCCCCUGCGGUGCUGCCAGCGGGGGUGAUGGGAGGUGGAGGUGGGCCACACACACCUGGGUUAGCUGUGGCUUGGCUUAUCUCCCUCCUCAGCAGCAAAUCCCGAGGAUCAACGAGGACAUGGUGGACCCAGAGAUUGCAGCAGCAGCAAGAGAGAGAGAGAGAAGCAAGAGAGGAGGGAGAGGAAGGAGAGGAGGAGGAGAGAGAGGGAGGCCAGGAGGGAGGCACGUCAGAGAGAGAGGGAGAGGAAGAGGUUGAUUCUGUUACAACAACAACUGCAACAACAACAACAGUUAGUCAGUGAGGAGGGGGAGGGGCCGUCCUCUGAUGCUGAGGAUGAGGUAUUGUUCAGGGAGGCCAUGUCGGAGGUGCCGGUGGUGGGGUCGCCAGUUCCGGAGUACGAGGUGGAGGAGGAAAAGGAAGAGGAGGACGAGGAGGAGGCACGGAUAAGGAAGAAGAAAAGAUUAUUACCUGUAGCCCUCCCUCCAGCUGAUAAGGGGAUAUUAAGGAGCCCUUCCUACAGGUUCGUUCGAUGCAAGGAGUUGGCACAGGAGGCGUCCGAGGCUGUGUAGAGCGGCCGUCUGAACCUGGUGCCACAGCUUACUAUGUUCAACAGAUGCCUGAAGGAAGUGUGUGUAAGGGAGGAUAAAGAGAUCAUGCUGGCCUAUGCAGACGAUGUCGCUGUCGUGACAGGAAGCCAACAAGAUCUUCAAGAGGCCAUGACAAGAUGGAAUGAUGUUUUAAAUAGGGAAGGAAUGAGAAUGAACAAACAAAAAACUUAUUUACUAGUGGACAAGCAACAAGUGAUGGUGUGGCUCUGAGCCACUGUAGUAGGGAUGUUAUGGUUUAAGUGUAGGAAGUUGCAAAUGCUCACCUAACAAUUGCACCUUAGUAGAAAAACACAAACAGGAAGUUUAUGCAAGUUUUUAUCCUUAUAUAAAAUGUUGUAUUGCAUCAAACCUCCAUACAUUACUGUCUCUAUCCAGUAUGAGACCGGUGUUCAGGAAGCACAAGCAUGUGCUGAAUAACAAGAAGCCGGCAUUGGUGAAGGUGACAACAUUUCAUCUAUUUAUACAUACUUUUUAUUAUUAAAGCUUAUCUUAUAAUUAUUUCUGAAGAGAUUGACUAAUUUUUGUAGUAUUUAUGACUUAGAACUAUGAUAAAGCUAUGAAUUGAUAUAAUUCCUGAUUUGUUUUAUCUUUUCAUUAUCCUUCCUUUGUUAAUUGAGCAUUUUAUAUUACUUAGCUUAAAAAUGCAAGAACGGUUCAGAAGUAUCCAACCUUGGGCUAAGGGCCAAAAUUAUGGUAUCAUUCAAAAUGUCCUUCAAAGAAAGCCCUCUGUAAUCCAACACACUUAGCCCAUUAAUCCUUCCAUUUCUCAUCAAUUUGUUCAACAUUCAUAUUUUUCCCUUAUAGGGUUGAACAAUUUUCAUGGGUUCAGAGCAAAAGGCUUCCUCAUUCCUCCCCAAGGUAUUCUCGGAUGGUAAGCAGGUUUGACUCUGGAGCAAACCUGACCAAGGGCUACUGCCCAAGGCUACAGAGGUUCCUCUCCCUGAGGCUGAAUGCACCAUGUGAGAUGGUUCUGUUAUGUGGAUGAAUGUCAUGGUGGAUAGCAGUGCCACCACAUUCCUACAAUCAUCCAUCACUCCACUGCUCAAACGCUUCUGCAACCAAUGAUAGGUAUGCUGCCACAUUCUGCAUGGUCUCCUUGGCUCUCAGAUAAGGAUACUGUCAACAGGUUUGGGAUUGCCAAAAAAUCAUAAGGAGCUAUGUCUGAAAAGUCCAGAGAGAGAGAGAGAGAGAAAGAAUGAGCAAGAGAAAGAGUAGGAUGAAGCAAAGGAAGAGUCAAGAGGGAGGAAGAGAGAGUAGGACAAGAAAAAACAGAACAAAUAAAUCCCCUACACGUCUUGUCUCCAUUCACACAAGCCAUGAAAAGCUUGUCCAUCCCUGAGUGCUCAGAAGCAGUGUUCCACUGAUGAUGUGGAAACUUGAGACACCCAAUCAUUUAAUGGGCUUUAGUAGGUUUUGUCACCAGUCUUCUGUGUGUCACUGACUACAUUUUGAAAUUUUUAUCUGUUCUAUUUAAUUUUGUGUGUAUGUACACAAUGUUUAUGGUCAAUAAACUAUUUAUAAAACUAUUUAUCUGUGUGAGUAAGAUAAAAGCAGUUAUUGUUAUUAUUAUUAUUAUUAUUAUUAUUAUUAUUAUUAUUAUUAUUAUUACACAUUUUCCUCCUUGUAUUUAAAUAUUAUUAUUAUUAUUAUUAUUAUUAUUAUUAUUAUCAUGAAUUGUUCUUGUUUAUAAAUAAAAUACUGUAACUGA
This is a long non-coding RNA of Scylla paramamosain (green mud crab), 3524 nucleotides long. RefSeq lists it as uncharacterized. The record is from RefSeq and is a predicted model, not a curated record. NCBI's taxonomy places the organism in Eukaryota, Metazoa, Arthropoda, Malacostraca, Decapoda, Portunidae. The transcript has 6 exons.